RNAcentral lists this long non-coding RNA (1791 nucleotides) under Mus musculus (house mouse). RNAcentral's name for it is "long non-coding RNA chr11:98782582-98784373". The record is from RNAcentral. Lineage: Eukaryota; Metazoa; Chordata; Mammalia; Rodentia; Muridae.
GGAAAUGUGGGUCGCUCUCAUUUCAUUUGCUUGUUCCUGCUAACCUACUGUCCGCCUGACUCCAGCAGUCUUACCCUGCAGCGCAGAAACAGGGUCAUCAGUGGGCAGGGGGCAGGAGCUGUGGGCUGCAAGUAGGGGCUCUGGGGUUACAGGGCCUGUGAGCUGUGGGCGGGGGAGGGGACGUUUCGGUGAGGGAUGAAAGCUAAACUUGUCCUUUUACCCUGUCGCUUGUUCUCCAGGAGUCGGUGUGACAGCCAGCCUUUCUAGGUCUCCAGCGCCUCCUCAACACGGACUAGCAAAGGGACUUCCCCUUACAAUCCAUUGGCCCCACAGACCCCCGCUGCAAACACAUUCUUAGCAUCCUGUCCCCGGCUCGUAAAUCGCUGGUUUCUCCUUGUUCUAAUCUUGGAGUGGGCACUAUUCUUACAAACGUGUGACAUCGUCCUUCCUAGAAAGAGGGGACAGGGAAGCCUGGUUAGAUGAGCCCAGGCUCCAGGAAAAGCAGGUCUCAGCUUUAAGGUGGCUGGGGUGAGAGAUGCUGUGCUCCUGACCCGGAGAGGCCCUUUGUUAUCCGGGGGGGAUUUGGGCUCUGGGUGGAUGUAAAUGCUAAACGGCUGCCUGGGUGGUGAGCAUGCUGGAGAACCCUGGCUUACUUGCUGCUGACUGCACUACCGGUGGUUCAGGAGAGAGACCAAAGUACAUAAGCAGAAAACAGGGCAGCAGAUAACAAGGCGGCCCAGUGGCCUUUCACUUCUUCCCCCUUCCUUCCCUCCUGUUCCUCCGGCCACUGGAGGACAGGGCCGAGUGUGUUUGUGCUGUCUUGAAGCUCACGCGGGCUGCCCGGGUCACAUGGCACGGGCAUGUGCAGCCUGCUCCAUUUCUACCACAACAACUCGCUCAUAAACAGCCCGGCUGCUGCGGCGGUGGCGGCGGAGACAUGUGCAAGUGAGGGGGUGGGGCACGUGGCCCUGCCCGAGCCAAGGGAAGGACUGGAUUGCUCAGCGCUGCCUCCACCCCUGCCCGCACUGGGCUGCCUAGCCACAGGAAAUUCCUAGUGCUCCCUCGCCGUUGCAAAACAUGUUUUGGGGGAAGUGACUUUCAAUAAGGAUGGAGUUAAUGGACUAAAUAAAAAGAGCACAGAUAAUCGGUGGGAGAUUGUCCUACUUGCCCGUGCCUUGUGUGGUGAAGGGUCUGCACAAAUGUACAGUGCUCAGGAUCCUCCCUGCUUCCUUCCUCCUGUAUAAAAUUGAUACCAACCAGGUCUUCGGGGUGAACAUUGAGGUGAGGGGCUGGGAUUCACUGAGGAGAUGAUCCUCUGAUCAGUAAUGGAGAUUGUCAGCAGUACCUGGGACCCUGUGAGAAAUGCAAAUUCUUAGGCUCACCGGAGCCUCCCUGAUUCAAACUGGGGACAGCUCUGGAAUCUGGUUUAGGAUGCCCACCAGAGGGAUUGAUGGGAGAGAAUGGAAGGGAGUCACAGCUUAAGGUCCGAAUUCUGUCCAGGAGAUAACAGCCAUGAUCUGGGGAUAUUUUUGACUUUUCUCCAAUGUGGGGCAACAUUUCAGAGUUCAGCCAGAAAGCAUAGUCAGAGUUAGUUUGACUCUGUGCAAAACCCAUUUAUCAGAGUGCUUCCAGGACGCCAGGAUUCUGCUGAUGAAGGCAAAUGGCCACCAGUGGUGGGACACUACUGUUACUGCCUUCUUGGGAGGUGAAUGUACUCUCGAGGGAAGAAUGAAGCAAAGAGAAGACUAGAUCCUUCCACCGUUUUCGCUCCCCUUGUCCCCCACACCCUUG